CAUCUUUAUAAAUAGUAUGGAUGUUUUGACGUUAUCUCCAGAGGAAGCUCCGGCUAACUCCGUGCCAGCAGCCGCGGUAAUACGGGGGGGAGCAAGCGUUGUCCGGAAUCAUUGGGCGUAAAGGGCGUGUAGGUGGUUUCGUAAGUCGAAUGUGAAAUCUCACGGCUCAACCGUGAAAUUGCGUUCGAAACUACGAGACUUGAGUUAGGGAGAGGUGUACGGAAUUCCUGGUGUAGCGGUGGAAUGCGUAGAUAUCAGGAAGAACACCAAUGGCGAAGGCAGUACACUGGCCUGUAACUGACACUGAGGCGCGAAAGCGUGGGGAGCAAACAGGAUUAGAUACCCUGGUAGUCCACGCUGUAAACGAUGGGUACUAGGUUUUGGGGGUCUCAACCCCUUCAGAGCCGUAGCUAACGCGUUAAGUACCCGCCUGGGGAGUACGAUCGGCAAGGUUGAAACUCAAAGGAAUUGACGGGUUCCCGCACAAGCGGUGGAGCAUGUGCUUUAAUUCGAGGCAACGCGAAGAACCUUACCUGGGCUUGACAUGGGAGCUUUCUCUUCGGAGGAGGUUAGCUAUGUGAAAGCAUGGUUAGUCCACACAGGUGUUGCAUGGCUGUCGUCAGCUCGUGUCGUGAGAUGUUCGGUUAAGUCCGGCAACGAGCGCAACCCUCGCUGUCAGUUACCAACGGGUAAUGCCGGGGACUCUGACAGGACUGCCGGUGAUAAACCGGAGGAAGGCGGGGGAUGACGUCAAGUCAUUAUGACCCUUACGCCCAGGGCUAGACACGUGCUACAAUGGUCGGUACAAUGAGCAGCGAGACCGCGAGGUGGAGCAAAUCUCAAAAAGCCGGCCCUAGUACGGAUUGCAGUCUGCAACUCGACUGCAUGAAGCUGGAAUCGCUAGUAAUCGCGUAUCAGCAUGACGCGGUGAAUACGUUCCCGGGAAUUGUACACACCGCCCGUCAAACCAUGGGAAUCGGUAGCACUCGAAGUCGCUGGCCCAACUUUAUUGAGGGAAGCGCCUAAAGUGAGAUCGGUGACUGGGGUUAAGUCGUAACAAGGUAGCCGUACCGGAAGGUGUGGCUG
Molecule: ribosomal RNA, 1086 nt
Filed under: bioreactor metagenome
Description: bacterial SSU rRNA
Rfam family: Bacterial small subunit ribosomal RNA
Source: RNAcentral